CACCUAGCGGAGAAAAAAGAACCGACGUGUUGUCGGAAAUCGAAGAAGGUCGUGUCGGAGAAAGAGCCUACACGGCUAAUAUCUCCAUAUUAAACUCUUAAUUAAGAAGGAGUUUUUAUAGUUGUAAGAAAAAUAAGAGGCGACGCCCAACGGAGAUAAAGAAAUAAAAACCAGACGAUAAUUGCGACUUCUGUAUCGUCAGAAAAUAGUUUAUUAUGUAUAAGCUAUUUGUCGUCAGUUCCUUACGAUGCCUCGUCCAGUGUCGGAAGAUAUUCGGAAUUUAAUAAUUCAGCACAGAGAGGAGGGGAAAACCGUGCGCGAGAUAGCCGAAAUGUUUAAGGUUACCUCAUGCACGGUUGUGAAUAAUUCGAAACGUCACCGGGAAACCGGUAGCGUUUCUGCUCCCCCCCAAAAAAUCGGAUCGUCCUCGCCUCACUAACGAACAGGAGGAUGAGACAUUGAAACAAAACAAGGUUUAGUUCUAUCAGGUGUUGUCGUUUUAAAAGGAUUGCCCUAACGGUAAUCCUUUUAAAACGACAACACCUAAUAGAACUGAACUUGCUCGUAUGGUUGGACACCGUGAAAAGAAGGCAUGUAGAAUUACAGCAUACUAUGUAUUUCCAAUAUAUCAUUUUACUCAUACAAUUCAGCUUGUUUGAAAGACGAGUGACGGGAAAGCAGUGCUUGUCAUCGCAGAACAUCGCAGACCAUUUGGAGUUCACCCGCCAACGUCAACAUUGGACAAACUCUGAGUGGUAAAGUGUAUGGUUUUCCGAUGAAAAAGUCUUCCGAAGCAAUAAUAACGGAAUGGUGUGGGUCUGUCAACCAAAGGGCGAACGACUCAACAAUAAAUACAUUCAUCCCAUAGAAAGGAGUGGGCGAUUUUCCCUAGAUGCCAUGGAUGAUCUUGAUCUAUCAAGAUGGUAUUGAGAACCUGAUUUUGUCCAGUUUGAAUCAUCCCAAUCUUCAGGAAGUUCCUCCGACUCCUUGGAUAAUCUUUAUACAUUGUCUCCUUUGCUUAUUCAAAAGCAGUUCUCCAAGCAAGAGCCCAGAAUGACAACCCCUUCAUGACACCCAGUGAUCGUCACCAUACCAUUAGAAGCUAAAAUACCAGAAAAAAGUGAAACAAGUGAACAAAAUGGCAGAAGAGCGUGCAUGCCAUUUGGCAGAGGGGAGAAAGAGCAAAAGAACACCAAGAGGAAGAACACCUCUGAGAGAGAGAGAGACUGAACAAUCCUCAAGUGAAAGGAAGAAUUAAUAGAUGACAUACCCGACGAAAAAACAAAAAAAAAAA
Centruroides sculpturatus (bark scorpion) is the source of this 1294-nucleotide long non-coding RNA. RefSeq lists it as uncharacterized. The record is from RefSeq and is a predicted model, not a curated record. The transcript is spliced from 3 exons. NCBI's taxonomy places the organism in Eukaryota, Metazoa, Arthropoda, Arachnida, Scorpiones, Buthidae.